GGCCCCGUGGUGUACCGGUUAGCACGCAGCCCUUUCAAGGCUGAGGAGAUUCGGGUUCGAUUCCCGCCGGGGCUA
Molecule: transfer RNA, 75 nt
Filed under: Solirubrobacterales bacterium
Lineage: Bacteria; Bacillati; Actinomycetota; Thermoleophilia; Solirubrobacterales
Also listed under: 1 other name
Description: tRNA-Glu
Rfam family: tRNA
About the family: Transfer RNA (tRNA) molecules are approximately 80 nucleotides in length.
Source: RNAcentral